GACGAACGCUGGCGGCGUGCCUAAUACAUGCAAGUAGAACGCUGAAGGAGGAGCUUGCUCUUCUGGAUGAGUUGCGAACGGGUGAGUAACGCGUAGGUAACCUGCCUGGUAGCGGGGGAUAGCUAUUGGAAACGAUAGCUAAUACCGCAUAACAGUAGAUGUUGCAUGACAUUUACUUAAAAGGUGCAAUUGCGUCACUACCAGAUGGACCUGCGUUGUAUUAGCUAGUUGGUGGGGUAACGGCUCACCAAGGCGACGAUACAUAGCCGACCUGAGAGGGUGAUCGGCCACACUGGGACUGAGACACGGCCCAGACUCCUACGGGAGGCAGCAGUAGGGAAUCUUCGGCAAUGGACGGAAGUCUGACCGAGCAACGCCGCGUGAGUGAAGAAGGUUUUCGGAUCGUAAAGCUCUGUUGUAAGAGAAGAACGAGUGUGAGAGUGGAAAGUUCACACUGUGACGGUAUCUUACCAGAAAGGGACGGCUAACUACGUG
This 495-nucleotide ribosomal RNA is filed under the name uncultured bacterium. RNAcentral describes it as "partial 16S ribosomal RNA". It matches the Rfam family "Bacterial small subunit ribosomal RNA", at positions 28 to 507 of the family's 1533-position model. The record is from RNAcentral.